This 253-nucleotide ribosomal RNA is filed under the name uncultured bacterium. RNAcentral describes it as "partial 16S ribosomal RNA". It matches the Rfam family "Bacterial small subunit ribosomal RNA", at positions 524 to 776 of the family's 1533-position model. The record is from RNAcentral.
UACGAAGGGGCUAGCGUUGUUCGGAAUUACUGGGCGUAAAGCGUAUGCAGGCGGAUCAUUAAGUCGGGGGUGAAAUCCCGAGGCUCAACCUCGGAACUGCCUUCGAUACUGUUUGGCUUGAGUAUGGCAGAGGUCAGUGGAACUGCGAGUGUAGAGGUGAAAUUCGUAGAUAUUCGCAAGAACACCAGUGGCGAAGGCGGCUGACUGGGCCAUUACUGACGCUGAGGCGACGAAAGCGUGGGGAGCAAACAGG